AUAAAAGAGAAAGUGAAAACAAGGGUCUCCUGAUUGAAUCGAAGAGAUCUUUCCUUUCCUUCACUUGGUCUUUCUUUUCAUUGAUCUCAUGCUCACAUAAGAGAUCAAUUAAGAAAAGAAAACGACCAAGUGAAAUGGGAAAGGAAAGGUGGGCCCAGAGACAGGAUCAUGCCUUCAUCGUCUUCUCUCUUUCUAUAAGAAGAGAAAGAAAGAGA
RNAcentral lists this non-coding RNA (215 nucleotides) under Prorocentrum minimum. Lineage: Eukaryota; Dinophyceae; Prorocentrales; Prorocentraceae. The record is from RNAcentral.